GCCCAGACUCCUACGGGAGGCAGCAGUGAGGAAUAUUGGUCAAUGGGCGCGAGCCUGAACCAGCCAAGUCGCGUGAGGGAGGACGGCCCUACGGGUUGUAAACCUCUUUUGCCGGGGAGCAACGGGCGUCACGUGUGGCGCCACUGAGAGUACCCGGAGAAAAAGCAUCGGCUAACUCCGUGCCAGCAGCCGCGGUAAUACGGAGGAUGCGAGCGUUAUCCGGAUUUAUUGGGUUUAAAGGGUGCGUAGGCGGGUUGUUAAGUCAGUGGUGAAAGUUUGCGGCUCAACCGUAAAAUUGCAGUUGAUACUGGCAUCCUUGAGUACAGUAGAGGUAGGCGGAAUUCGUGGUGUAGCGGUGAAGUGCUUAGAUAUCACGAAGAACUCCGAUUGCGAAGGCAGCCUGCUGGACUGUAACUGACGCUGAUGCUCGAAAGUGUGGGUAUCAAACAGGAUUAGAUACCCCAGUA
RNAcentral lists this ribosomal RNA (467 nucleotides) under uncultured bacterium. RNAcentral describes it as "bacterial SSU rRNA". It matches the Rfam family "Bacterial small subunit ribosomal RNA", at positions 329 to 792 of the family's 1533-position model. The record is from RNAcentral.